Molecule: ribosomal RNA, 253 nt
Filed under: uncultured bacterium
Lineage: Bacteria
Description: partial 16S ribosomal RNA
Rfam family: Bacterial small subunit ribosomal RNA
Source: RNAcentral
UACGUAGGGGACGAGCGUUGUCCGGAUUUAUUGGGCGUAAAGCGCGCGUAGGCGGUUCGGCAAGUCGGGCGUGAAAUGCCGGGGCUCAACCCCGGGACUGCGUCCGAUACUUUCGAGCUGGAGGUAGGUAGGGGAGAUCGGAAUUCCUGGUGUAGCGGUGAAAUGCGCAGAUAUUACGAGGAACACCAGUGGCGAAGGCGGUGCUCUGGGCCGGAACUGACGCUGAUGAGCGAAAGCGUGGGGAGCAAACAGG